UACCAUUCAUCAACAAAUCACUCAUUAAAGGUGAUGAAUAUGUUUGCUGAAGUUCUAAAGCUAAAACGCCAGUUUCAUUUCUAUAAGAGUCUUGCAAACGAUGAAAGGAACAACAUUGAAGUACCUUCCAAACACAGUCUAUCCACACCUUGGAAACACAGUUCCUGGUUUGUAGCCUCUAAAAACACUUUACACCACUUCCCAUGGAUCCAUUUCUCAGACAUCAUUCCAGUCACUCGCCCCUGAUGCCAAUGUGUACGGUGAAACAGCUCGACACAUCCCACCAACAGAUGCUCUUCAGCGUAAAAAGGAGGUAGAUCAAGAGUCUUGUUGGGUCUUGCCUUGAUAUCUUUAAGGUUCCAGGGGUAGUCACAAGCGUUGACAAUAUAUUUCUUCUCAUCAUCAUCGUCAAUCUAUUUAAUGAUCAUUGCAGUAACCCAAACGACCUCUGUUUUAUGUAAAUAAGCACUCACUUCCACUAAUAUCCAGAGCUAAAAAUUGAUUCCUCGCUCAAACGCCUCAGGAACUAGCAGUUAAGUUAACUAACUUCACAACCAAAACCUCAUACUUGCUAGAAAAGCAAUAAAAUUGGAUGAAGAAAAAAAAAACGAUGUGGUCUCAAAUAAUUUUAAGCAAACGGAAUGAUCUCAGGUGGUGUGAAUCAAACAACACCAAGUACUUGUCACCACCAAUUUGUUUGACCACAAGACCAGUCCACCACAUACCUUUCUGAUCAGCGUCCACGAUGGAGCCUACCUUGAUAAUGAUGCCAACUUGUACAUGCUCCGGUGGAAUCGGUCAUCCUUAAGCAACCGGACACACCUUUCUCUUUGGCGGAGUCUAGACUUGGGAUUUGCCUCUAUAAUGGCUUUACACCAAACGUUGACAAAGCCUUUGUUUCGGUAAGAGAUUUCAACUUCACUACCUUCCAUGAAGGAUAGCAUUUCACUCGGAACGUACCUCAUGCUUGAUUACUCACAGUGAAGAAAAAAACGAAGCCUAAAACUGAAAAGACCCACAUUCACUUAAUUUCAUCCCAAAUGGCAUAUAAUAUCUAACUAUACUAAAAAGAGGAUAUAUUGAUCAGAAAAGGUGUCCACGUCAGACAAUAAAAUCUACCAAUCAGGUUUUAACGUUUUGCCACGUAAUCAAAUGAUUUUGGAUGUUGGGCUUUGUUUGUAAUAUAUGGUGUAACUGGGCUGUUUGAUUGGUAAGAGUCUGGGCCCAAUGUGAAGGAGAUCACUCUAACCCUAACACCCUGUAUCGAAGAAACGAAGUUCGUCACUUCUUUAUGUGCGGCGGCGAUCCGGUGACCUCUGACCUUCUUCUGACGACAUGAAACGGUGUGAUUAAUGGCUUCCUCAUAAAUCUCAUUUAUUGGCUCCAUCACGAUGUGUAUUCAAAGCUUCCCAAUGAUUUUAGAGACGGUGCCAUGAUCUGUAUAAAUAGAGUUUUUGUGUAGAGCUUUCGUAACCUGUAAAGACGCUGAUGUAGUUCGAGAAAAGGAGUAGCAGAGCUAAGGGUCUGAACUUCCACCCCAAAAAACCAAGAAAUCUCACCAAUUUUUUCAGAGGUGUCAUCCAGCAAUGGUAUUAUCUAAUGGGUUCGGUCGUUCUCACUCUACAGCUUUUCUUCCUCUCAGCAUGUAAGAUAGGAAAUCUAUUUACAUGUUAAAAUCUGGACACUACGUAGAUUUACUGAAUUUUUAUAUGUUAGAUACUCCUCCACUCAUAUAUCUUUGUAAAUUAUGCUUUACAUUCAUAUGUAUGUGUUGAAUAUAUGAAUAGUCUUCUAGAUUCUCGAAGUUGUUGAGAGACAUAAUCAAUUCACAUAUAGAUUUUUAUUUUGUUCAUGAUCCAUGUUGUGCUUUUGAUAAACAUAUGCAUAUAUGAUAGUGCUGAUGAAAAAAAAAAAUAGAAACUGUUUUAAUAAAUCAUAAGUUUUGGAGCAUCCUAGGAUCAAAAGAGAAGCAAGCACAUAUAGAUAAAAAUUUGAUCGUUCUUCUAAGAGUUGCUUGCAUAUCUUUGUUUCUUUUUUGCUCUUUUGUUUUCCCUGUUUUUCUACAUUCUAUUUAAUAUUAAGUUUUAAAUGUCAGAGAAACCAUAUUGUCUUCAAUUAAUUCUUGCAGAGGAAGUGACAACGGUCUUAUGAGUUAUGACGUCCCUGAGGCUGCGGAAACGUGAUCAAGGUGUGAUUCAUUGGUUUCUUCAGUUUAGAGUCCACAAAAUUCAUGUUCUAUCAAUUUUGUAUUCUACUUUUUAUCUUUUCAGUUGUAAAAAAGAAGACCAAAUAUAGGAGUGUGCUAAUUUUUAGUGAAUGAAGCUAUUUACUUAUGUUUCUUAAUAUUCUUCUCUUUGUUAUUGUAAAAGACAAGUGGGGUUUUUAUUGCAAGAGCUAAUUGUAAUUACCAGCUGUUUUUAAUCAAUAAUGCACUUCUCUGCAAUUUUCAAUUUUUGUUUCUUUUUUUUUUUGUCAAACCAUUUCUUCCAUAAAUUUAAAUUAAAACUAAGCGACAGAGUUAGCAAUCCAUGAAGGAUUGUUCGAUAACAUAAACAAAGCAUGUUUGGCGAGCUUAUCAGCUUGCACAUUACAUUUUUGUUCAUUAUUUAAUUUCUGGUUGGCUAUUAUAUAUUUUGCUGACGUUAAGCACAAUUUUAUUGUGGUAUCAAAGAGAUGACGUCUACGAGUUUAACUCUGGUUCAUGAAGAGACCUUUAUGGUAGUAUCACUCAGGGUCUGUCCCUAGAUUACUUAUAUGGUUUUCCCAGUUUGUGCAGUUUACAUGUUUGGUACAGAUGAAACAGGAGGAACACAACGUGGGAUCUUUCUCACGUUUAAUUUAUUUAACAUGACAAAACAAUAGCUUGGUUGUUUUUAGCUGUACAUAUAUAUGUAAGAAUACUUCUUUUUAGCCAUGGACGGUUGAUUAUUGUCUAAGCGUGCUGGCUGAAACAGAUGUAUCUGAAGGGAAGAGACGAUUCAUGUUAAUGCAAUGAGUCAGUAUAUCUAUGUAUAUGUAAGAAUGAUUUUUUUCCCCACUGAUACCUGUUCCUGGAGAACAUAUAUACAGUACUUACCCUUCCGUGUUUUUUUUAUUGGUUCUUCUUUUAAUUUAUAUUAUAGUUUUGUUUUAAGAAAAAACAUCAGUUAUAUAUCAUGCAUUAGUGCGUUAUCAUGUGACAUCACAACUA
Long non-coding RNA from Brassica rapa (field mustard), 3190 nucleotides. RefSeq lists it as uncharacterized. Lineage: Eukaryota; Viridiplantae; Streptophyta; Magnoliopsida; Brassicales; Brassicaceae. The record is from RefSeq and is a predicted model, not a curated record.